GACGAACCGUCCAAACGUUAUUCGGAAUUACUGGGCUUAAAGGGUGCGUAGGCGUCGCGGAAAGUUGGGUGUGAAAUCCCUCGGCUCAACCGAGGAACUGCGCCCAAUACUACCGUGCUUGAGGGAGAUAGAGGUGAGCGGAACUUAGGGUGGAGCGGUGAAAUGCGUUGAUAUCCGAAGGAACACCGGUGGCGAAAGCGGCUCACUGGAUCUCUUCUGACGCUGAGGCACGAAAGCGUGGGGAGCAAACAGG
This 253-nucleotide ribosomal RNA is filed under the name uncultured bacterium. Its description in RNAcentral is "partial 16S ribosomal RNA". It matches the Rfam family "Bacterial small subunit ribosomal RNA", at positions 524 to 776 of the family's 1533-position model. The record is from RNAcentral.